RNAcentral lists this ribosomal RNA (465 nucleotides) under uncultured bacterium. RNAcentral describes it as "partial 16S ribosomal RNA". It matches the Rfam family "Bacterial small subunit ribosomal RNA", at positions 338 to 795 of the family's 1533-position model. The record is from RNAcentral.
CCUACGGGGGACAGCAGUGGGGAAUAUUGCGCAAUGGGCGAAAGCCUGACGCAGCGACGCCGCGUGAGGGAUGAAGGUCUUCGGAUCGUAAACCUCUGUCAGCAGGGAAGAACGGUCACUGUGCUAAUCAGCAGUGAAUUGACGGUACCUGCAAAGGAAGCACCGGCUAACUCCGUGCCAGCAGCCGCGGUAAUACGGAGGGUGCGAGCGUUAAUCGGAAUUACUGGGCGUAAAGCGCUCGUAGGCGGUAUGUCAAGUCAAGGGUGAAAUCCCCGCGCUCAACGUGGGAACUGCCUUUGAAACUGGCAAACUGGAGUGUGUGAGAGGAUAGUGGAAUUCCAGGUGUAGGAGUGAAAGCCGUAGAUAUCUGGAGGAACAUCAGUGGCGAAGGCGACUAUCUGGCACAUAACUGACGCUGAGGAGCGAAAGCGUGGGUAGCAAACAGGAUUAGAUACCCCAGUAGUC